UGAGCAAUCUGCCCUUCACAUCGGAAUAACCAUUGGAAACGAUGGCUAAUACCGAAUAUGACUUCGGAUCGCAUGAUCUGAAGUGGAAAGCUCCGGCGGAGAAGGAUGAGCUCGCGGCCUAUCAGCUAGUUGGUGUGGGUAAUGGCCCACAAGGCGACGACGGGUAGCCGGCCUGAGAGGGUGACCGGCCACACUGGGACUGAGACACGGCCCAGACUCCGUACGGGG
This 228-nucleotide ribosomal RNA is filed under the name uncultured bacterium. RNAcentral describes it as "partial 16S ribosomal RNA". It matches the Rfam family "Bacterial small subunit ribosomal RNA", at positions 118 to 346 of the family's 1533-position model. The record is from RNAcentral.